CGCGUGGGACGUACCUUUUGCUACGGAAUAACUCAGGGAAACUUGUGCUAAUACCGUAUGUGCCCUUCGGGGGAAAGAUUUAUCGGCAAAGGAUCGGCCCGCGUUGGAUUAGCUAGUUGGUGAGGUAAAGGCUCACCAAGGCGACGAUCCAUAGCUGGUCUGAGAGGAUGAUCAGCCACACUGGGACUGAGACACGGCCCAGGACUCCUACGGGAGGCAGCAGUGGGGAAUAUUGGACAAUGGGCGCAAGCCUGAUCCAUCCAUGCCGCGUGAGUGAUGAAGGCCCUAGGGUUGUAAAGCUCUUUCACCGGUGAAGAUAAUGACGGUAAC
This 330-nucleotide ribosomal RNA is filed under the name Brucella anthropi. Its description in RNAcentral is "bacterial SSU rRNA". It matches the Rfam family "Bacterial small subunit ribosomal RNA", at positions 114 to 479 of the family's 1533-position model. The record is from RNAcentral. Lineage: Bacteria; Pseudomonadati; Pseudomonadota; Alphaproteobacteria; Hyphomicrobiales; Brucellaceae.